RNAcentral lists this ribosomal RNA (433 nucleotides) under uncultured bacterium. RNAcentral's name for it is "partial 16S ribosomal RNA". It matches the Rfam family "Bacterial small subunit ribosomal RNA", at positions 29 to 507 of the family's 1533-position model. The record is from RNAcentral.
AACGAACGCUGGCGGCAUGCCUAACACAUGCAAGUCGAACGAGACCUUCGGGUCUAGUGGCGCACGGGUGCGUAACGCGUGGGAACCUGCCCUUAGGUUCGGAAUAACUCCCCGAAAGGGGUGCUAAUACCGGAUAAUGUCUUCGGACCAAAGAUUUAUCGCCUUUGGAUGGGCCCGCGUUGGAUUAGCUAGUUGGUAGGGUAAAAGCCUACCAAGGCGACGAUCCAUAGCUGGUCUGUGAGGAUGAUCAGCCACACUGGGACUGAGACACGGCCCAGACUCCUACGGGAGGGAGCAGUGGGGAAUAUUGGACAAUGGGCGAAAGCCUGAUCCAGCAAUGCCGCGUGAGUGAUGAAGGCCUUAGGGUUGUAAAGCUCUUUUACCCGGGAUGAUAAUGACAGUACCGGGAGAAUAAGCUCCGGCUAACUCCGUG